CCCGCAAACUUGUUACACAAAUGUGUAAAGAGUGCCAAACACCGCUGUGCAGCUCAUGCUUCGUGCACUACCACACACAAGAACGGUACUGACAGAGUUGGCUACAGUGGCGCCUGCCUCACCAAGUUGCUGCCGUGCCCGCUCAUAAAUGAAAGUAUCAACGGUCUGACGCUGAUUGCCGACGGAGGUGCUUUGAGAAUAAUGUCAAGAGUUGUUGAAUAACUCCCCAAGACAUCCUAAGUGGAAAUGCUGUUGUAAGUAAUGCAUACAGAUGUACACAGCGCAACACGGCAAGGUGGCAUCAUGUGUCACACCAAGCUGCUGCUGCCCACUGGCAAGAAAAGUAAAUAAAGUUCACUUUUUUAUAACACA
This is a long non-coding RNA of Eriocheir sinensis (Chinese mitten crab), 372 nucleotides long. RefSeq lists it as uncharacterized. Lineage: Eukaryota; Metazoa; Arthropoda; Malacostraca; Decapoda; Varunidae. The record is from RefSeq and is a predicted model, not a curated record. The transcript is spliced from 2 exons.